ACUGAACGCUGGCGGCAGGCUUAACACAUGCAAGUCGAGCGGGGUGAUGGUGCUUGCACUAUCACUUAGCGGCGGACGGGUGAGUAAUGCUUAGGAAUCUGCCUAUUAGUGGGGGACAACAUCUCGAAAGGGAUGCUAAUACCGCAUACGUCCUACGGGAGAAAGCAGGGGAUCACUUGUGACCUUGCGCUAAUAGAUGAGCCUAAGUCGCAUUAGCUAGUUGGUGGGGUAAAGGCCUACCAAGGCGACGAUCUGUAGCGGGUCUGAGAGGAUGAUCCGCCACACUGGGACUGGGACACGGCCCAGACUCCUACGGGAGGCAGCAGUGGGGAAUAUUGGACAAUGGGGGGAACCCUGAUCCAGCCAUGCCGCGUGUGUGAAGAGGGCCUUAUGGUUGUAAAGCACUUUAAGCGAGGAGGAGGCUCUUUUGGUUAAUACCCAAGAUGAGUGGACGUUACUCGCAGAAUAAGCACCGGCUAACUCUGUGCCAGCAGCCGCCGUAA
This 503-nucleotide ribosomal RNA is filed under the name uncultured bacterium. RNAcentral describes it as "partial 16S ribosomal RNA". It matches the Rfam family "Bacterial small subunit ribosomal RNA", at positions 30 to 523 of the family's 1533-position model. The record is from RNAcentral.